This is a long non-coding RNA of Mirounga angustirostris (Northern elephant seal), 1326 nucleotides long. RefSeq lists it as uncharacterized. NCBI's taxonomy places the organism in Eukaryota, Metazoa, Chordata, Mammalia, Carnivora, Phocidae. The transcript has 3 exons. The record is from RefSeq and is a predicted model, not a curated record.
UACUGCGGGGGCGGGUGGAAAAGGACGUGGGGGAGGGGUGGGGAAGGGCGGGGCAGAGCUAGAGCCCCGCCCCCGGGGAGGGCCGAGCCCGCGCGGCCGCUGCUCCCCUCCCCCCGCCUCCCGCGGCGACCCCCGCGGGGCGUGAGGUCCCAGCCCCACCCCGUUGGAGCCCCUCCUCCGCGUCCGCUCCGCCGGUCCCCAGCCGAAAUCGAGCUGGGAGGAAAGAGCCCUGAGCGCUGCUUUGCACCCCUUCUUGCGGGGCUCAGACUCUCUGUGUGGUGUAGGUUUAUUGCCUUGGCCUCAGGCAGGUGGCGGCCGCUCCUCUCCGCUUUACCCAAGACGGGGAAAGUGACGCUGCGUCCCUCAAAGUCAUUGAGAAUGCCGCGCGGGAUGCAGGUCUCUGGAAGAGAAGUUUCGUUCCCACGGUGGCAGUUGGAAUUUCCACGCAUGACGGGGGAGGGAGGGGGGCCCUGAGGCUGGAGAGAGACCCGCGGAAUGGCGCUUCCCGAAGUCCUUUCCCCGCUGCAGCGUCCCGAGAGAGUCCUUGGCCGUGCCCGGUGAAGCUGCCUCGGCCGGGAUGUCGGGAUGGGGACUCCAAAUGGAGAAAUGGCUUGUUUUAAGUCCUCUCCUGCCUCCUAAGUGUAGGCUCCUUAUCUACACGGAUGCAUGCAAAGUCCUUUCGCCUUCGUGCAAAUUUUGCAAACUAUUUUUGACAAACGUUUGGAAGUUAUUAGAGUGAGGAAGAAUAGCAACUAGUUACUCAGUAAGAAGCAAGUGGUUUAAAACAACAUUUUUUAUCUCCUGACAAAAAAUAAAAAUAAAUGGCGAAUGAUUUCACAGAUUCCAUGGCAGGUCAAAAUUAGAAUGGAUUCAGAAUAACCAAUAUAUGAUAGAGUUGCAAAAAAAUAUUUGAUGAAUGACUGAAAUAAAUCAUGGCUCCCUCACUUUCUUCCACUCCGUCCUCAGAGAGAGAGAGAGAGAGUGCUCGAAAGAGCACACAGAGAAACGGCAGAGGGAGAAGGAGAAGCAGACUCCCCGCUGAGUAAGGAGCCUGAUGUGGGGCUCCAUCCCAGGACGCCAGGAUCAUGACCUGAGCUGAAGACAGACACUUAACCAAUUGAGCCACGCAAGCACCCUCACCUUCUCUUUUUAUUGUGUCUGUAUGAGAUUAUGGAUGCUAACUGAGUUUAUUGCAGUAAUCAUUUCACAAUAUAUGUAAGCCGAACCCCCUUCUGCUGUACACCUUAAAUUUAUAUAGUAAUGUAUGUUAAUUGUAUCUUAAUAAAACUGGAGAAAAAUUAAUCAAUGGAUAUAAAGAAACUGAAU